CCGGAUCCUGCGAAAAUGAUACUGAUUGAUCAAAAUUCUGGGUGACCCCCAGUUAUACGCGGAGGCCUACUGAGUGGCAAUAAGUGUACUGUUGUACGAUCCUGUCUCCCACGGACCGAAAGGGUGUGAACCAACAUGUCGGACUUACCUCAAUAUCCCCGACCGAUUUUCAGGCGAGGAUUAAGGCCGCCAUGACAGCUCCGGGGGAAGAAGUUCUCUCCAGUAUGCUGGCUAACAACCCAUCUGACAGAGCGGGUGCAACGGCAGCAACACCAAUGGAAGAUUGAGAUACCGACGUUAGGUCGGACACCCAUCAUCAGGG
Non-coding RNA from Pelobates cultripes (western spadefoot toad), 322 nucleotides. NCBI's taxonomy places the organism in Eukaryota, Metazoa, Chordata, Amphibia, Anura, Pelobatidae. The record is from the annotation of a GenBank genome assembly.